ACGGCUUACCAAGGCGACGAUACGUAGCCGACCUGAGAGGGUGAUCGGCCACACUGGAACUGAGACACGGUCCAGACUCCUACGGGAGGCAGCAGUAGGGAAUCUUCCGCAAUGGGCGAAAGCCUGACGGAGCAACGCCGCGUGAGUGAUGAAGGUCUUCGGAUCGUAAAACUCUGUUGUUAGGGAAGAACAAAUUUGUUAGUAACUGAACAAGUCUUGACGGUACCUAACCAGAAAGCCACGGCUAACUACGUGCCAGCAGCCGCGGUAAUACGUAGGUGGCAAGCGUUAUCCGGAAUUAUUGGGCGUAAAGCGCGCGAAGGCGGUUUCUUAAGUCUGAUGUGAAAGCCCACGGCUCAACCGUGGAGGGUCAUUGGAAACUGGGAAACUUGAGUGCAGAAGAGGAGAGUGGAAUUCCAUGUGUAGCGGUGAAAUGCGCAGAGAUAUGGAGGAACACCAGUGGCGAAGGCGGCUCUCUGGUCUGUAACUGACGCUGAUGUGCGAAAGCGUGGGGAUCAAACAGGAUUAGAUACCCUGGUAGUCCACGCCGUAAACGAUGAGUGCUAAGUGUUAGGGGGUUUCCGCCCCUUAGUGCUGCAGCUAACGCAUUAAGCACUCCGCCUGGGGAGUACGACCGCAAGGUUGAAACUCAAAGGAAUUGACGGGGACCCGCACAAGCGGUGGAGCAUGUGGUUUAAUU
Molecule: ribosomal RNA, 700 nt
Filed under: Mammaliicoccus lentus
Lineage: Bacteria; Bacillati; Bacillota; Bacilli; Caryophanales; Staphylococcaceae
Description: bacterial SSU rRNA
Rfam family: Bacterial small subunit ribosomal RNA
Source: RNAcentral